GUGUCAGCAGCCGCGGUAAUACGAACCGUACAAACGUUAUUCGGAAUCACUGGGCUUAAAGGGUGCGUAGGCGGCCAUGUAAGUGAGGUGUGAAAUCCCUCGGCUCAACCGAGGAACUGCGCUUCAUACUGCAUGGCUUGAGGGAGACAGGGGUAAGCGGAACUGAUGGUGGAGCGGUGAAAUGCGUUGAUAUCAUCAGGAACACCGGUGGCGAAAGCGGCUUACUGGGUCUCUUCUGACGCUGAGGUACGAAAGCUAGGGUAGCGAACGGGAUUAGAAACCCCCGUAGUCC
This 292-nucleotide ribosomal RNA is filed under the name uncultured bacterium. RNAcentral's name for it is "partial 16S ribosomal RNA". It matches the Rfam family "Bacterial small subunit ribosomal RNA", at positions 505 to 796 of the family's 1533-position model. The record is from RNAcentral.